GAUACAGAGAGGAUUAGCAUGGCCCCUGGGCAAGGAUGACACGCAAAUUCUUGAAGCAUUCCAUAUUUU
Molecule: small nuclear RNA, 69 nt
Filed under: Cervus elaphus hippelaphus
Lineage: Eukaryota; Metazoa; Chordata; Mammalia; Artiodactyla; Cervidae
Source: RNAcentral